UACGAAGGGGGCUAGCGUUGUUCGGAAUUACUGGGCGUAAAGCGCACGCAGGCGGAUCGAUAAGUCAGGGGUGAAAUCCCGGGGCUCAACCUCGGAAUUGCCUUUGAUACUGUCGAUCUCGAGUCCGGGAGAGGUGAGUGGAAUUCCUAGUGUAGAGGUGAAAUUCGUAGAUAUUAGGAAGAACACCAGUGGCGAAGGCGGCUCACUGGCCCGGUACUGACGCUCAGGUGCGAAAGCGUGGGGAGCAAACAGG
RNAcentral lists this ribosomal RNA (253 nucleotides) under uncultured bacterium. RNAcentral's name for it is "partial 16S ribosomal RNA". It matches the Rfam family "Bacterial small subunit ribosomal RNA", at positions 524 to 776 of the family's 1533-position model. The record is from RNAcentral. RNAcentral also lists the same sequence under 1 other name.